UGGUAGGACGUUUACUGGGAGCUAUCUAAGGUAAAAUUGGUGACUGGGGCU
This 51-nucleotide ribosomal RNA is filed under the name uncultured bacterium. Its description in RNAcentral is "partial 16S ribosomal RNA". The record is from RNAcentral.